This 1058-nucleotide ribosomal RNA is filed under the name Mixta sp. BE291. Its description in RNAcentral is "partial 23S ribosomal RNA". It matches the Rfam family "Bacterial large subunit ribosomal RNA", at positions 794 to 1835 of the family's 2925-position model. Lineage: Bacteria; Pseudomonadati; Pseudomonadota; Gammaproteobacteria; Enterobacterales; Erwiniaceae. The record is from RNAcentral.
AAAUUAGCGGAUGACCUGUGGCUGGGGGUGAAAGGCCAAUCAAACCGGGAGAUAGCUGGUUCUCCCCGAAAGCUAUUUAGGUAGCGCCUCGUGAACUCAUCUCCGGGGGUAGAGCACUGUUUCGGCUAGGGGGCCAUCCCGGCUUACCAACCCGAUGCAAACUGCGAAUACCGGAGAAUGUUAUCACGGGAGACACACGGCGGGUGCUAACGUCCGUCGUGAAGAGGGAAACAACCCAGACCGCCAGCUAAGGUCCCAAAGUCAUGGUUAAGUGGGAAACGAUGUGGGAAGGCCCAGACAGCCAGGAUGUUGGCUUAGAAGCAGCCAUCAUUUAAAGAAAGCGUAAUAGCUCACUGGUCGAGUCGGCCUGCGCGGAAGAUGUAACGGGGCUAAACCAUGCACCGAAGCUGCGGCAGCGACAUUAUAUGUUGUUGGGUAGGGGAGCGUUCUGUAAGCCGUUGAAGGUGGCCUGUGAGGGCUGCUGGAGGUAUCAGAAGUGCGAAUGCUGACAUAAGUAACGAUAAAGCGGGUGAAAAGCCCGCUCGCCGGAAGACCAAGGGUUCCUGUCCAACGUUAAUCGGGGCAGGGUGAGUCGACCCCUAAGGCGAGGCCGAAAGGCGUAGUCGAUGGGAAACGGGUUAAUAUUCCCGUACUUGGUGUUACUGCGAAGGGGGGACGGAGAAGGCUAUGUUGGCCGGGCGACGGUUGUCCCGGUUUAAGCGUGUAGGCUGACUUUCCAGGCAAAUCCGGAAAGUUAAGGCUGAGGCGUGAUGACGAGGCACUACGGUGCUGAAGCAACAAAUGCCCUGCUUCCAGGAAAAGCCUCUAAGCAUCAGGUAACACGAAAUCGUACCCCAAACCGACACAGGUGGUCAGGUAGAGAAUACCAAGGCGCUUGAGAGAACUCGGGUGAAGGAACUAGGCAAAAUGGUGCCGUAACUUCGGGAGAAGGCACGCUGGCACGUAGGUGGAGGGACUUGCUCCCCGAGCCGAAGCCAGUCGAAGAUACCAGCUGGCUGCAACUGUUUAUUAAAAACACAGCACUGUGCAAACACGAA